Molecule: ribosomal RNA, 468 nt
Filed under: uncultured bacterium
Lineage: Bacteria
Description: partial 16S ribosomal RNA
Rfam family: Bacterial small subunit ribosomal RNA
Source: RNAcentral
GACGAACGCUGGCGGCGUGCUUAACACAUGCAAGUCGAACGGAAAGGCCCUGCUUUUGUGGGGUGCUCGAGUGGCGAACGGGUGAGUAACACGUGAGUAACCUGCCCUUGACUUUGGGAUAACUUCAGGAAACUGGGGCUAAUACCGGAUAGGAGCUCCUGCUGCAUGGUGGGGGUUGGAAAGUUUCGGCGGUUGGGGAUGGACUCGCGGCCUAUCAGCUUGUUGGUGGGGUAGUGGCUUACCAAGGCUUUGACGGGUAGCCGGCCUGAGAGGGUGACCGGCCACAUUGGGACUGAGAUACGGCCCAGACUCCUACGGGAGGCAGCAGUGGGGAAUAUUGCACAAUGGGCGGAAGCCUGAUGCAGCAACGCCGCGUGCGGGAUGACGGCCUUCGGGUUGUAAACCGCUUUCGCCUGUGACGAAGCGUGAGUGACGGUAAUGGGUAAAGAAGCACCAGCUAACUACGUG